GGAUUGAUGAUGACAUUCUUGUAUGCAUUCCUUGGGAAAUCUGUACUAAAUGAAUGAGAACGCUGUACCAUCUCCUCAAUGAAACUGAGGUCC
This is a small nucleolar RNA of Balaenoptera ricei (Rice's whale), 93 nucleotides long. RefSeq annotates it as small nucleolar RNA SNORD116. Lineage: Eukaryota; Metazoa; Chordata; Mammalia; Artiodactyla; Balaenopteridae. The transcript has a single exon. The record is from RefSeq and is a predicted model, not a curated record.